Molecule: ribosomal RNA, 827 nt
Filed under: Limosilactobacillus fermentum
Lineage: Bacteria; Bacillati; Bacillota; Bacilli; Lactobacillales; Lactobacillaceae
Description: bacterial SSU rRNA
Rfam family: Bacterial small subunit ribosomal RNA
Source: RNAcentral
GCGUUGGCCCAAUUGAUUGAUGGUGCUUGCACCUGAUUGAUUUUGGUCGCCAACGAGUGGCGGACGGGUGAGUAACACGUAGGUAACCUGCCCAGAAGCGGGGGACAACAUUUGGAAACAGAUGCUAAUACCGCAUAACAACGUUGUUCGCAUGAACAACGCUUAAAAGAUGGCUUCUCGCUAUCACUUCUGGAUGGACCUGCGGUGCAUUAGCUUGUUGGUGGGGUAACGGCCUACCAAGGCGAUGAUGCAUAGCCGAGUUGAGAGACUGAUCGGCCACAAUGGGACUGAGACACGGCCCAUACUCCUACGGGAGGCAGCAGUAGGGAAUCUUCCACAAUGGGCGCAAGCCUGAUGGAGCAACACCGCGUGAGUGAAGAAGGGUUUCGGCUCGUAAAGCUCUGUUGUUAAAGAAGAACACGUAUGAGAUUAACUGUUCAUACGUUGACGGUAUUUAACCAGAAAGUCACGGCUAACUACGUGCCAGCAGCCGCGGUAAUACGUAGGUGGCAAGCGUUAUCCGGAUUUAUUGGGCGUAAAGAGAGUGCAGGCGGUUUUCUAAGUCUGAUGUGAAAGCCUUCGGCUUAACCGGAGAAGUGCAUCGGAAACUGGAUAACUUGAGUGCAGAAGAGGGUAGUGGAACUCCAUGUGUAGCGGUGGAAUGCGUAGAUAUAUGGAAGAACACCAGUGGCGAAGGCGGCUACCUGGUCUGCAACUGACGCUGAGACUCGAAAGCAUGGGUAGCGAACAGGAUUAGAUACCCUGGUAGUCCAUGCCGUAAACGAUGAGUGCUAGGUGUUGGAGGGUUUCCGCCCUUCAGUGCCGGA